This 533-nucleotide long non-coding RNA is filed under the name Homo sapiens (human). Its description in RNAcentral is "non-protein coding CTBP1-DT:27". Lineage: Eukaryota; Metazoa; Chordata; Mammalia; Primates; Hominidae. The record is from RNAcentral.
GAAACCACGGCAUGGAGACGGAAUGAUGCAGACUCCUAUCCGCGAGAUACCUGCUGUAAUUUCGCUGUGGUUCGUGAGGACGCGUCCUGGGCUGCCCUGAGAAGCCUACGUCUCCCCUUCGAGGCCCGGGAAGACCUCCAACCCCGCUGACAAUGCUGGGCCCUCAGCCAGACCUGCCCUGCGUGCCACGUUCUGUUCUAAGAUCGGGCUGCCGAGCUGUGGCCUGGAGGAAACCUGGCAGGUGGGGCUGCCAUGAGCAGCAAGCUCAGUCCAGAAGAACAGUUCCUCUCCAGGAUCCACUUCCUGCGCACUUUUAUGUGCAGUGUAGCUGGAGCAGAGCUCCCCGGAAUUCCACAGGCAACUGAGAACGGAGAGGGAUGCAGGCCAGCCAGGGAUCCAGCGUCUUCCCCAUCGUCACUCUCCAUGGCCUCCGUCUACACACAGUGUUCGUCUGCACAGCUUGUCAGCGCGUUAUCAUGACUUCUAUUUGGCACCGGCCCGUCUGUCCACUGUCCUGGCUUGUUCCAAGCGCU